GGGGGACCGUAAGGCCUCGCGCGAUUAGAGCGGCCGAUAUCUGAUUAGCUUGUUGGUGGGGGUAAAAAAGCCCCACCAAGGCGACGAUCAGUAGCUGGUCUGAGAGGACGAUCAGCCACACUGGGACUGAGACACGGCCCAGACUCCUACGGGAGGCAGCAGUGGGGAAUUUUGGACAAUGGGGGCAACCCUGAUCCAGCAAUGCCGCGUGAGUGAAGAAGGCCUUCGGGUUGUAAAGCUCUUUUGUCAGGGAAGAAACAGCAGCUCUAACACAGUCUGCGAAUGACGGUACCUGAAGAAUAAGCACCGGCUAACUACGUG
This 321-nucleotide ribosomal RNA is filed under the name uncultured bacterium. RNAcentral's name for it is "bacterial SSU rRNA". It matches the Rfam family "Bacterial small subunit ribosomal RNA", at positions 193 to 507 of the family's 1533-position model. The record is from RNAcentral.